RNAcentral lists this ribosomal RNA (393 nucleotides) under Triticum aestivum (bread wheat). RNAcentral's name for it is "partial small subunit ribosomal RNA". The record is from RNAcentral. Lineage: Eukaryota; Viridiplantae; Streptophyta; Magnoliopsida; Poales; Poaceae.
AUGGUCAUCAAGGAGGUGUUAAGGUUGCAUCCUCCGGCUCCGCUGCUCGUCCACAGAGAGACGAGAGAGGACUGUGAAAUCAUGGGCUAUAACAUGCCUAAAGGAACUAAUAUCUUCGUUAAUGUCUUUGCAAUUUCUCGGGAUCCCAAAUAUUGGGACAACCCUGAAGAGUUCAAGCCGGAGAGCUUUGAGAACAGCAACGUCAAAUAUUAUGGGACACAUUUUGAAUUCACUCCUUUCGGGGCAAGGCGAAGGCAGUGCCCUGGGAUAUUGUUUGCCAUGUCGACCGUGGAGAUUGCCUUGGCAAACCUACUCUACCACUUUGACUGGGUGCUUCUUAGAGAGGAAGUGCAGAAUCAGUGGACAUGUCUGAGAAAUUUGGGGUCAGUGUAA